CAUCUGUUAAGGGCUCGACCGGUGUAGGAGAUGGUGUUGGAGAGGGUAAUGAGUCACUUAAAGUAGUGUGUGGACCUAUAUCUUAAGAAAAAAAAUAUCAAUUAGGUUAGUAGGCAGAGGAUUGGAUUAAGGUCGACUUGAGUAAACUUGAAGUGGAGGAGAGGACUUUUUGUCAGGAAGAAUAGGAAUAGGAAGUGCUGUGGAAAUGAAAGUUUGGUUAACGGUAUUUGGUGAAAAAUAUGAAGAAGUCUCGAAAAAGAUUACAUCUGCUAAAAAAAAAUAUUUAUUGGUAGUUGGAUCAUAGCAUUUGUAGCUUUUUUGAAGACGAGAGUACCUUAUGAAAACACAUUUGAUAGAUUUUGGUUGAAGUUUGUCUUUUCCUGGAGUGAGAUUGUGAACAAAACUGGUACAAUCAAAGACACGCAAUGAAGGAGGAAAAGCAUUUUGAUGUGGAUGGAGAACUAAAUGAGGACUUUGAUUCUGCAAAAUAGAAGAAGACAUAUGAUUAAUCAAAUAGCAAUCAAUAAGGACAGCAUUCCCCCAAAAACGAAGGGGUACAUGAUGAUGAAGGAGCAAAGUACAAGCUGUUUCAAUUAGAUGUUUAUUUUUACGCUCAACUACUCCAUUUUGUUGAGGAGUACGGGCACAAGAAGACUGAUGACUAAUACCCGGAGAAGACAUAAAGGUUUGAAAAGGAAGAGAAGAAUAUUUUCGUGCAUUAUCACUGUGCAACACUUUAAUAGAAAAGCCAAAUUGAGUAUGUAUCUCAGCACAAAAUUUUUAAAAGAUAGAAAGCAACUCAGAAUAAUUUUUCAUUAAAAAUAACUAAGUGCAAUGAGAAUAUUCAUCAAUAAAGGUGACCAAAUAAUGAAAAACCAAAGUUAAAUUGACUCAACUUGGACACCAUAUAUCUAAAUGAACAAUGUCAAACAUGGAUGCAAUCCGAUUAUUAAGUCUUUUUGGAAAAGAAGAACGUGUUUUUUUGCUAAGUUGAUAAGACUCACAAUUUAAAAAGGAUAAGUGAGAAAGAGAAGGAACUAGUUUUUGGAAUUUGGAUAUAUUUGGGUGACCCAAAUAAUUAUGAAGACUAUAAGUGGCAUCAGAAGUAAAGGCAACAUGAGACUUUGAGCUAGAGAGAUGAUACAGUCCUUGUAACUCAUGGCCAGUGUUAUCAAGGCAACAGGGAACCCUAUGGCCUUAGGCGAGAGACGAGGCGAGGCCUUUUUGAAGCAAAGUGCCAUAGUCUAAAUUGUCUAAUAUAUAUGUGUGUGUGUGUGUAUUAGAAGAAGGAAGGCACUUUGAAUCCUGUGAUUCUUGUAUUCUCAUGUGCUUUUCACUGUAUAAGCAUGCAUAAUAAAUAUUUUGUUUAAUUAUUAGUGUGGGUUUUCUGAA
Molecule: unclassified non-coding RNA, 1392 nt
Filed under: Hevea brasiliensis (rubber tree)
Lineage: Eukaryota; Viridiplantae; Streptophyta; Magnoliopsida; Malpighiales; Euphorbiaceae
Source: RNAcentral